AGUGAACGCUGGCGGUAGGCCUAACACAUGCAAGUCGAACGGCAGCACAGGAGAGCUUGCUCUCUGGGUGGCGAGUGGCGGACGGGUGAGGAAUACAUCGGAAUCUACUCUGUCGUGGGGGAUAACGUAGGGAAACUUACGCUAAUACCGCAUACGACCUACGGGUGAAAGCAGGGGACCUUCGGGCCUUGCGCGAUUGAAUGAGCCGAUGUCGGAUUAGCUAGUUGGCGGGGUAAAGGCCCACCAAGGCGACGAUCCGUAGCUGGUCUGAGAGGAUGAUCAGGCACACUGGAACUGAGACACGGUCCAGACUCCUACGGGAGGCAGCAGUGGGGAAUAUUGGCCAAUGGGCGCAAGCCUGAUCCAGCCAUACCGCGUGGGUGAAGAAGGCCUUCGGGUUGUAAAGCCCUUUUGUUGGGAAAGAAAUCCAGCUGGCUAAUACCCGGUUGGGAUGACGGUACCCAAAGAAUAAGCACCGGCUAACUUCGUGCCAGCAGCCGCCGUAA
Molecule: ribosomal RNA, 506 nt
Filed under: uncultured bacterium
Lineage: Bacteria
Description: partial 16S ribosomal RNA
Rfam family: Bacterial small subunit ribosomal RNA
Source: RNAcentral